CAGUCGCCGCGGGAAUACAGAGGGUGCGAGCGUUAAUCGGAUUUACUGGGCGUAAAGCGUGCGUAGGCGGCUUUUUAAGUCGGAUGUGAAAUCCCUGAGCUUAACUUAGGAAUUGCAUUCGAUACUGGGAAGCUAGAGUAUGGGAGAGGAUGGUAGAAUUCCAGGUGUAGCGGUGAAAUGCGUAGAGAUCUGGAGGAAUACCGAUGGCGAAGGCAGCCAUCUGGCCUAAUACUGACGCUGAGGUACGAAAGCAUGGGGAGCAAACAGGAUUAGAUACCCCGGUAGUCCCUGUCUCUUAUAC
This 301-nucleotide ribosomal RNA is filed under the name uncultured bacterium. RNAcentral describes it as "partial 16S ribosomal RNA". It matches the Rfam family "Bacterial small subunit ribosomal RNA", at positions 509 to 807 of the family's 1533-position model. The record is from RNAcentral.